UACGUAGGGUCCGAGCGUUGUCCGGAAUUAUUGGGCGUAAAGGGCUCGUAGGCGGUCUGUUGCGUCGGGAGUGAAAACUUACAGCUUAACUGUGAGCGUGCUUUCGAUACGGGCAGACUUGAGGCAUUCAGGGGAGAACGGAAUUCCUGGUGUAGCGGUGAAAUGCGCAGAUAUCAGGAGGAACACCGGUGGUGUAGACGGCUUUCUGGACCGUAACUGACGCUGAGACACGAAAGCGUGGGUAGCAAACAGG
RNAcentral lists this ribosomal RNA (253 nucleotides) under uncultured bacterium. Its description in RNAcentral is "partial 16S ribosomal RNA". It matches the Rfam family "Bacterial small subunit ribosomal RNA", at positions 524 to 776 of the family's 1533-position model. The record is from RNAcentral.